Molecule: long non-coding RNA, 493 nt
Organism: Aphis gossypii (cotton aphid)
Lineage: Eukaryota; Metazoa; Arthropoda; Insecta; Hemiptera; Aphididae
Exons: 3
Source: RefSeq, a predicted model, not a curated record
AAGGUCCAUUAGUUGUGAAUGGAAUGGUUAAAGGUCUCCUGUUUUGCAACAUUGCACAUAUUCAGGAAAUUGAACAACAUUUGAGAAAUGUCUGUGUAGCUGGUUGCGACGGUACAUUUAAAACUGUACCAAAAUGCUUAGAUAAUGAAACUUAUCAGAUAUUUUUUUUUCAUAUCCUGUUUAAAAAGUUAGCUUCCCACUAGUUCAUACUAUCCUCACGGGCAAAACACAGGAUAUCUACAUAAAACUCCUGAAACAUGUCAGAAGUUUUUUACCCUUGAACCAUGCACAAUUAUCAUAAUAACUGAUUAUAAAUAUGGUCUAAUUCAUGCCGUAAAAAUAGUAUUUCCGGAAAGUAAAACCCCAGGAUGUUAUUUUCAUUUUUGCAUUAAUAAUAUUUUUAGGCAGUCAUACUAUACACUAGAAUCAAAAAAUCUCAAAGUUUUAGUUUAAUAAAAACAAAUUUCAAUGCUGCAUCUGCAUGCAAGGCUGG